AUUGACCGCUGGCGGCAGGCCUAACACAUGCAAGUCGAACGAGUGGCGGACGGGUGAGGAAUGUCUGGGAAACUGCCUGCUGGAGGGGGAUAACGACUGGAAACGGUAGAUAAUACCGCAUACCAUCGGAUGUGCCCAGAUGGGAUUAGCUAGUAGGUGGGGUAAGGGCUCACCUAGGCGACGAGCCCUAGCUGGUCUGAGAGGAUGACCAGCCACACUGGAACUGAGACACGGUCCAGACUCCUACGGGAGGCAGCAGUGGGGAAUAUUGCACAAUGGGCGCAAGCCUGAUGCAGCCAUGCCGCGUGUAUGAAGAAGGCCUUCGGGUUGUAAAGUACUUUCAGUGGGGAGGCGUUACCCGCAGAAGAAGCACCGGCUAACUCCGUGCCAGCAGCCGCGGUAAUAC
Molecule: ribosomal RNA, 406 nt
Filed under: uncultured bacterium
Lineage: Bacteria
Description: partial 16S ribosomal RNA
Rfam family: Bacterial small subunit ribosomal RNA
Source: RNAcentral